RNAcentral lists this long non-coding RNA (1223 nucleotides) under Strigops habroptila (Kakapo). RNAcentral's name for it is "lncRNA (ENSSHBG00005020646.1)". Lineage: Eukaryota; Metazoa; Chordata; Aves; Psittaciformes; Psittacidae. The record is from RNAcentral.
CUUGCUAAAAUGUGGUGCCUACAGAUGAAGCAUACGAUGACUACAAUGAAGAUAAGCUCUAUAUGCCAAAUCUAACCUUUCUCCUUAAAUAUACAGUUGCUGACUUGUGUUUACAUAACCUUUAAAAUGCGGGCGCUCAAAUGCCUGAUUCCUGUGAUUCAAAACCAUUCCAAGCCCGGAUGGUCCCAAGCCUGCCACCUUGCUUCUCGGUUUGUUUUGUGUCGUGCUCUACUCCUAGAGUCAAAGUCUGUUCCUGUAGAGGUUUUGCUGGUUACGUUAGUGGGAACAGAGCAAAGCUUGCCAUGUAUGUGUGAACUGUCUGAAUAAAGCCACUGAAACGGGCUCAUUUCUGUAGCCUGUUUCGAAAUGGAGCCUUCUGAGAACCAAAUCUUUCUCUUCCUGUUUCCAAGUGUCCUGUCUCAGGAUGGAACGAGCCAUUGCAAUAGCUGUAUGUUUAAACCCAAGGGAGGUGUGCUGAUAGGUGGGUUGGAAUUAAUGGGAGAUGUCUUUCUAGGGGGAAAACGCUGGUUUUCUUGGGCUUGGAUCUUCAGCUAGUGCACUUGUGUGGUGUCCGGCAGAAGCAGCUGAUCCUCAUCAUUCAGCAACAGCAGAAGUGAAAUUGCUGUUGCUGUGGAUGACUUGUGAGAUCAGGGCAAACAGGAGACCCCUUCUGGGGUUGGGAAGGGAGGAAAAAGUGGUGAUAGGAACUGUAGGGUGUAAGCCAGCGGGAUGCUGGCGUGGCAGUAACCCGACAGUGUGAUGCUGUGAUUGUUCAUGUCCCGUACACACGCUGCACUGUUACAGUGCUCAUUAGUGAGCUAAAAGGUCAGUACAGGCUUAUCGGUGGGAAAACUUGAAGGAAAAAAGGCUGGGGUUUCUUCAUCAGAACUUAUUGAAGCUUAAUCCCUGGCUAAUGACACUGCAAGAUAAGAAAAGUAAUUAAGAUUCCCUCUAAAAGUGUUCUGUGAUAACGGGGGAACUUGGUGUAGUCAUAGCUACUUCUCAAAAACUAACCCUGAUCCUUCUGAGGGUGUUAUGAAAUGACUUGGAAUUGCAGAAAAGCUUCAAAUUGAAUUUGCAUACACACAGGUUGAAAACUUACCUAAUACUGCACCAUUUAGCCAAUUGCCCAGCUCUGGGGUUUUUAAAAACCAUGUAGUAUAUAGAAGGUGUAAAUUCUAUACAGGCAACAAGAAGAUACAUUUUCAGCUUCUUGCAAAAAA